CCGGAGCAGACAACGGCUCCAACAGCCCUGCGAGGCCCAGCGGCCACGACACCUGUGAACAAGCGUGAGAAGCAGCGGAACGCCAUCAUUCUGCACUGCUGCUGAGGGCCAGCCUGCGCAUGCACAACCUGAGUGGUCACUAUGGCAAUCCAACGAGUGUCUGCAACCCUUGGCAAUUUAGUGAAAGACGUCUACAACAAGGAAGGCUGUAAUUUGCUGCAAAAAGCAGGU
This 231-nucleotide long non-coding RNA is filed under the name Gouania willdenowi (blunt-snouted clingfish). RNAcentral describes it as "lncRNA (ENSGWIG00000018077.1)". The record is from RNAcentral. Lineage: Eukaryota; Metazoa; Chordata; Actinopteri; Blenniiformes; Gobiesocidae.